UGGAAAGGCGCGCGAUACAGGGUGACAGCCCCGUACACAAAAGCGCAUGUGCUGUGAGCUCGAUGAGUAGGGCGGGACACGUGGUAUCCUGUCUGAAUAUGGGGGGACCAUCCUCCAAGGCUAAAUACUCCUGACUGACCGAUAGUGAACCAGUACCGUGAGGGAAAGGCGAAAAGAACCCCGGCGAGGGGAGUGAAAAAGAACCUGAAACCGUGUACGUACAAGCAGUGGGAGCACCCUUUGGGGUGUGACUGCGUACCUUUUGUAUAAUGGGUCAGCGACUUAUAUUCUGUAGCAAGGUUAACCGUAUAGGGGAGCCGGAGGGAAACCGAGUCUUAACCGGGCGUUAAGUUGCAGGGUAUAGACCCGAAACCCGGUGAUCUAGCCAUGGGCAGGUUGAAGGUUGGGUAACACUAACUGGAGGACCGAACCGACUAAUGUUGAAAAAUUAGCGGAUGACCUGUGGCUGGGGGUGAAAGGCCAAUCAAACCGGGAGAUAGCUGGUUCUCCCCGAAAGCUAUUUAGGUAGCGCCUCGUGAAUUCAUCUCCGGGGGUAGAGCACUGUUUCGGCUAGGGGGCCAUCCCGGCUUACCAACCCGAUGCAAACUGCGAAUACCGGAGAAUGUUAUCACGGGAGACACACGGCGGGUGCUAACGUCCGUCGUGAAGAGGGAAACAACCCAGACCGCCAGCUAAGGUCCCAAAGUCAUGGUUAAGUGGGAAACGAUGUGGGAAGGCCCAGACAGCCAGGAUGUUGGCUUAGAAGCAGCCAUCAUUUAAAGAAAGCGUAAUAGCUCACUGGUCGAGUCGGCCUGCGCGGAAGAUGUAACGGGGCUAAACCAU
This 843-nucleotide ribosomal RNA is filed under the name Salmonella enterica subsp. enterica serovar Give. RNAcentral describes it as "partial 23S ribosomal RNA". It matches the Rfam family "Bacterial large subunit ribosomal RNA", at positions 343 to 1190 of the family's 2925-position model. Lineage: Bacteria; Pseudomonadati; Pseudomonadota; Gammaproteobacteria; Enterobacterales; Enterobacteriaceae. The record is from RNAcentral.